AAAACAUAAAUUAGAAAAGUAUAUAAAAACUUAAAAGCAUAUAAUGUAGUGUUUCAUACUUUAAUUCAAAAAUCAAACAAAGUUCAUCCCUUUUUAUACUCCACCAUCAUUGGAAGGAGUCGAUGUCGAGGCUUGUAGUCCAAAACGGCCGACCAAGGUGUUCACAAUAUCUCGGGUUUCUUUCAAUUCCGCUUCCAAUCUUUCCAACUAUAAAUACCUGCACUUUUACACCAUCUUGGAUCUCUGCAUACCAAUUAUACAAACAACAAUUUUGUCAAGAAAAAAAAGUACAGUAUAUUCCAUCCAGUGAUUAAUAAAUCGUAAUUAAUUACCGCAAUGACAUGUGCGAAAGCAUACUGAAUGCCGGUAGCCCUGACUUCGAGAGCAGUUGCACCUCCGAUUCUCUUCACCUCUUGAAAAGAGAAUUAUAUUCAUUCGUCGAAUUUAUUAAAUUGAAUUUCUUUAAUAAAUAAACAAUAAAUGCAUGAAUAAUGACUUGCCUUGUAGCACAAAGGCCAAAAGGUGUUCCUUUAUUUCUUAGAUGUUGGGAAGGAAAUGCUGUAAAAGUGCAGAUAUUUAUAUUUGUCACUGUAUCAUCAUCCUCAAACAAUAUUUUUUUUUUAAUUUCAUCGAUCUGAUAUUUGCCUAUCGACUGCAGAUUCAAAUGAAUUUUAAAAUAAAUUUCAGACUGGGUAAUUUACACACAACUUCAAAGCAAUUUUAUUAGGAUUUCAAAUCAAUGAAAAUAAAAUUAGGGCAAGAAAGUUACCUUUUUGUGGUUGUUGAUCGAGAGCUAGGUAGAGAUGAGGACAUUAGGGCUAGCUACAGAUGAACGAGGCCGUAGGGAGAAGAGGGAGGUGGCGGCGCCGCCGUAUAGACCUCGCCGGAUGAUGGGCGGAGAGCUGGGCAGAGAGCUACGGCGGACGGCGGACGAGCAAGACGGAGGGGGAUUGAAGAGGGCCGACGGCGGCGGCGGACGCAAAUGGGGAGGCGCCAGCGG
This 1000-nucleotide long non-coding RNA is filed under the name Erythranthe guttata (spotted monkey flower). Its description in RNAcentral is "long non-coding RNA (EGUT_LNC003361)". The record is from RNAcentral. Lineage: Eukaryota; Viridiplantae; Streptophyta; Magnoliopsida; Lamiales; Phrymaceae.